Molecule: ribosomal RNA, 402 nt
Filed under: uncultured bacterium
Lineage: Bacteria
Description: bacterial SSU rRNA
Rfam family: Bacterial small subunit ribosomal RNA
Source: RNAcentral
UCGGGAAUUUUGGGCAAUGGGCGAAAGCCUGACCCAGCAACGCCGCGUGAGGGAUGAAGUAUUUCGGUAUGUAAACCUCGAAAGAAUGGGAAGAAUAAAUGACGGUACCAUUUAUAAGCUCCGGCUAACUACGUGCCAGCAGCCGCGGUAAUACGUAGGGAGCAAGCGUUGUACGGAUUUACUGGGCGUAAAGGGCGCGUAGGCGGCGCGGUAAGUCACUUGUGAAAUCUCUGAGCUUAACUCAGAACGGCCAAGUGAUACUGCUGUGCUAGAGUGCGGAAGAGGCAACCGGAAUUCUUGGUGUAGCGGUGAAAUGCGUAGAUAUCAAGAGGAACACCUGAGGCGAAGGCGGGUUGCUGGGCCGACACUGACGCUGAUGCGCGAAAGCCAGGGGAGCAAACG